RNAcentral lists this unclassified non-coding RNA (421 nucleotides) under soil metagenome. Its description in RNAcentral is "partial contains 5.8S ribosomal RNA, internal transcribed spacer 2, and large subunit ribosomal RNA". The stretch from base 1 to 120 matches the Rfam family "5.8S ribosomal RNA", at positions 35 to 154 of the family's 154-position model. The record is from RNAcentral.
GAUGAAGAACGUAGCGAAAUGCGAUACGUAAUGUGAAUUGCAGAAUUCAGUGAAUCAUCGAAUCUUUGAACGCAUAUUGCGCUCUUUGGUAUUCCGAAGAGCAUGCUUGUUUGAGUAUCAGUAAACACCUCAACCUCUUCUUGAUUUUUCAAAAGGAGGGUGGACUUGAGCUAUCCCAACAACCUUUACCGGUCGGCGGGCGGCUUGAAAUGCAGGUGCAGCUGGACUUUUAUCUGAGCUAAAAGCAUAUCUAUUUAGUCCUCGUCAAACAGGAUUAUUACUUUUGCUGCAGCUAACAUAAAGGAUAAUUGUCCUCUUUGCUGACUGAUGCAGGAUUUUACGACACUUUAUGUGUUGUUCAACUCGAUCUCAAAGCAAGUAAGACUACCCGCUGAACUUAAGCAUAUCAAUAAGCGGAGGA